Molecule: long non-coding RNA, 1095 nt
Filed under: Citrus x clementina
Lineage: Eukaryota; Viridiplantae; Streptophyta; Magnoliopsida; Sapindales; Rutaceae
Description: Citrus clementina (C. clementina) long non-coding RNA (CCLE_LNC005783)
Source: RNAcentral
UACUAUAGGUAUUUUAGUAAAUUAAUUCACAUUCAUAUUUAUUUUGUCAAGUAAACACAUUAAUGUCAUUCCAGCAUAUUUUCAUUCCUCUUUAUUUUUACCAAGUAAAUAUUGGAAUCUCAUUCCUAUUCCUCAUUCUCAUUACAAUCAUUUCCAACUCAUUCUCAUUCUACUUCAUUCUUAUUACAUGAAGUAAACACACCAUAAAAAUUUAACUUUUCGGAGAAAAAAAAAAAGAGAAAAACCUUAAUUUUUGUCCUCUACUAUCACUACUCUCAGUCCAUAGCUACCACAACGUCUACCAAUCAUAACUCCUAAACACCACCUCACAAGUACAAACCCUAGGCACUAUCGUUGUUGUUAGUUUUCAAAACUCUUGCUGCCGUCGCUACCAACCCCGGCACUCAGAACCGCGUCGAGCCGCAAAUACAAUCGCGUCUAUCACACCAAUUGCCACCACGAUGGAAGGCAAAAAUAAAUAAAUUUGUGCCGACUCGCCAGCUUCCUUGUUUGCUGUUUAAUUAUCUAUAGUUUUCCUUUUUCCUUUUUGUGUUUAUUUUACUGCUACUACUGAUGUUGGUGUUAGAUUCAGUGUUGUUGAUGUUGGUGUUAGUUUCUUUGCCAAUCACCAAAAUCAUAACUCACAAAAUGAUACGUGAUUCCUGCCAAGGAGCUUGAUACGACGCUGAGUUGGAUUCCCACCUCCGUUGAGUUACUUUACUUUGAUUUAUGAGAAAAUUAAGGAAAAUGAAAGAAAGUAAUGAUUUCUUGACAUUUGAUAAUUUGGACUUUGUUGUUCAAAGGUUUUCUCAUUUUGGGUAGUUUAAACAAUUUUUUUUUCAAAUCUUCGUAACAUGCAAAAGCGAAAAAUGUUGUGAAAUCUUGUAUCUGUUGUAGGGGUAUUUUGGUACUUUCAAAGUCAGCUACAGUCACACACAUCCAAGGGGUGAAAUUAGGGAUGGCAAACAGCGGGUCUGGGCUGACCGGGCUUUUUCAAGCCCAUGUCCAAGCCCUGUGUCAGCUAAGUGUACGAGUCUGGGUCGGGCUCGAGCCGGGCUUGGGCUUUAUUUAUUUAUUUUAAAAUUUUUUAAAUUA